UACGUAGGGUGCGAGCGUUGUCCGGAAUUAUUGGGCGUAAAGAGCUCGUAGGCGGUCUGUCGCGUCGGUCGUGAAAACUUGGGGCUUAACCCUGAGCUUGCGGUCGAUACGGGCAUGACUGGAGUUCGGUAGGGGAGACUGGAAUUCCUGGUGUAGCGGUGAAAUGCGCAGAUAUCAGGAGGAACACCGGUGGCGAAGGCGGGUCUCUGGGCCGUAACUGACGCUGAGGAGCGAAAGCAUGGGGAGCGAACAGG
This 254-nucleotide ribosomal RNA is filed under the name uncultured bacterium. Its description in RNAcentral is "partial 16S ribosomal RNA". It matches the Rfam family "Bacterial small subunit ribosomal RNA", at positions 524 to 776 of the family's 1533-position model. The record is from RNAcentral.